RNAcentral lists this ribosomal RNA (253 nucleotides) under uncultured bacterium. RNAcentral describes it as "partial 16S ribosomal RNA". It matches the Rfam family "Bacterial small subunit ribosomal RNA", at positions 524 to 776 of the family's 1533-position model. The record is from RNAcentral.
UACGUAGGGAGCAAGCGUUGUCCGGAAUCAUUGGGCGUAAAGCGCGCGUAGGCGGCCCCGUAAGUCCGCUGUGAAAGUCAAAGGCUCAACCUUUGAAAGCCGGUGGAUACUGUGGGGCUAGAGUCCGGAAGAGGCGAGUGGAAUUCCUGGUGUAGCGGUGGAAUGCGCAGAUAUCAGGAGGAACACCAAUGGCGAAGGCAGCUCGCUGGGACGGUACUGACGCUGAGACGCGAAAGCGUGGGGAGCGAACAGG